RNAcentral lists this ribosomal RNA (396 nucleotides) under uncultured bacterium. Its description in RNAcentral is "partial 16S ribosomal RNA". It matches the Rfam family "Bacterial small subunit ribosomal RNA", at positions 523 to 918 of the family's 1533-position model. The record is from RNAcentral.
AUACGUAGGUGGCAAGCGUUGUCCGGAAUUAUUGGGCGUAAAGCGCAUGUAGGCGGUUUGGUAAGUCGGUCGUGAAAAUGCGGUGCUUAACGCCGUAUGGCGAUUGAAACUGCUGAACUUGAGUGCAGGAGAGGAGAGGGGAACUCCCAGUGUAGCGGCGAAAUGCGUAGAUAUUGGGAAGAACACCGCUGGCGAAGGCGCCUUUCUGGACUGUGUCUGACGCUCAGAUGCGAAAGCCAGGGUAGCGAACGGGAUUAGAUACCCCGGUAGUCCUGGCUGUAAACGAUGGGUACUAGGUGUGGGAGGUAUCGACUCCUUCCGUGCCGGAGUUAACGCAAUAAGUACCCCGCCUGGGGAGUACGGCCGCAAGGCUUAAACUCAAAUGAAUUGACGGGG